CGAUCCCAUAAAUCAUAACAGCAAGCUGGGCAUGAAAAGCUUCCCAAUUCCCCUUCUCUGCUUCUCCUCUGGCAACUCUCAGCAGAAACUUCAAUGGCAGACCCACAACAUCCCCACUGGGCUUCCAGUUAUCACAGACUUCUUUGACACUCAACUGGAGAGCUCUGGCAACAGCUCUGAAAUCAACUUCCUUCGGUACGUCCAAGAAAGGAACCUGAUGCUGAAUCGGGACACUCAACAGAAUGGAAUACUCCUCGAGAGUAGGCGCCAAC
This 272-nucleotide long non-coding RNA is filed under the name Lathyrus oleraceus (garden pea). RNAcentral's name for it is "Pisum sativum (pea) long non-coding RNA (PSAT_LNC009174)". Lineage: Eukaryota; Viridiplantae; Streptophyta; Magnoliopsida; Fabales; Fabaceae. The record is from RNAcentral.